Bubalus bubalis (water buffalo) is the source of this 799-nucleotide long non-coding RNA. RefSeq lists it as uncharacterized. The transcript is spliced from 2 exons. The record is from RefSeq and is a predicted model, not a curated record. Lineage: Eukaryota; Metazoa; Chordata; Mammalia; Artiodactyla; Bovidae.
CGGCUGCAGGGUGGCGCCGGAGGGCGUGGCGCCGCAGACGCAGUGUUCCGGCUAGGGGCGGGAGACCCCGGCCCAGCCUAGCCUGGUCGCUUAAGCCAAGUGUCGGAGGCUCCGGGAAGCCGGCAGCACACCAACGGCGGAGGCUCCGGGAGCCCGGCAGCACACUAGCGGCCUCCGGCUCCAUUCCGGAGCCUGCGCUUAAAAGCUUGUCCUUCCCAGGCGGGCGAGGCAACCCGCCCUUGCGCAGUACCUACUGAGCUGCCGCCUCCGAGCCCUGGGCCGGAGAAGGAGCUCUCACUGAGCAAGAAGUUUGCAGAAGCUGUAGGGUAGCGCCGAAGCAUCUGUGUCCUUUACACCUCUCCUACGAGGAGAUUCACGGCCCGGGUACUCCACGAUGGAUCCAAGGUCGGUGUCCACCUACCCUGCAACCAGUCUGCACCUAGACCCGGGCUGAGGGCAUCCGGCACGGACGCAAAGUCCUGGAAACUCGGCAAUUUGCAGCGUCCACAGCGGCAGAAGAAACCGAAGGUCACCUAUGGCAAAGUUACACAGCAAGUGGCAGAGCUGGUAUGGGACCCAGGUCUAUCUAACACCACACCAGUGCUGAUCUAAUGUGACAAGUGAAAGGCUGGCACCCUGAGAGACUGUUUCUUGUUUAGAGGAAGUGACACCAUUACACUGGAAACACUCACAAAACAGAGGAAUGAAUGGCACUGCAAAGAGCUGGGGACCCUAUGGCUCUCCCCUUCUCUUUAUUCUCACUUUGCAUUGCCUGGAAACCCUCUGAGACCCAGUAAGA